UAUUUGCCUAUGAUGGUUAUAAAUAUACUUUGAGUAGUAAAAUACCAAGAAAAGAAUUUUCCUCUGAGGCUUUUG
Amaranthus tricolor (Joseph's coat) is the source of this 75-nucleotide small nucleolar RNA. The record is from RefSeq and is a predicted model, not a curated record. Lineage: Eukaryota; Viridiplantae; Streptophyta; Magnoliopsida; Caryophyllales; Amaranthaceae.